This 805-nucleotide ribosomal RNA is filed under the name Botryosphaeria dothidea. RNAcentral describes it as "partial large subunit ribosomal RNA". It matches the Rfam family "Eukaryotic large subunit ribosomal RNA", at positions 83 to 906 of the family's 3401-position model. The record is from RNAcentral. Lineage: Eukaryota; Fungi; Ascomycota; Dothideomycetes; Botryosphaeriales; Botryosphaeriaceae.
GUAACGGCGAGUGAAGCGGCAACAGCUCAAAUUUGAAAGCUGGCUCCUUUGGAGUCCGCGUUGUAAUUUGUAGAGGAUGAUUCGGCAAGGGCUCCCGCCUAAGUCUCCUGGAACGGAGCGUCAUAGAGGGUGAGAAUCCCGUAUGCGGUGGGCUGCCUAAGCCAUGUGAAUCUCCUUCGACGAGUCGAGUUGUUUGGGAAUGCAGCUCUAAAUGGGAGGUAAAUUUCUUCUAAAGCUAAAUACCGGCCAGAGACCGAUAGCGCACAAGUAGAGUGAUCGAAAGAUGAAAAGCACUUUGGAAAGAGAGUUAAAAAGUACGUGAAAUUGUUGAAAGGGAAGCGCUUGCAGCCAGACUUGUCCGCAGUUGCUCAGCCGGUCUCCUGACCGGUGUACUCUUCUGCGGCCAGGCCAGCAUCAGUUCGGGCGGUCGGAUAAAGACCUCGGGAAUGUAGCUCCUCUCGGGGAGUGUUAUAGCCCGGGGUGGAAUGCGGCCAGCCUGGACUGAGGAUCUCGCUUCGGCUAGGAUGCUGGCGUAAUGGCUGUAAGCGGCCCGUCUUGAAACACGGACCAAGGAGUCUAACAUCUAUGCGAGUGUUUGGGUGUCAAACCCAUGCGCGUAAUGAAAGUGAACGGAGGUGGGAACCCUCACGGGUGCACCAUCGACCGAUCCUGAUGUCUUCGGAUGGAUUUGAGUAAGAGCAUAGCUGUUGGGACCCGAAAGAUGGUGAACUAUGCCUGAAUAGGGUGAAGCCAGAGGAAACUCUGGUGGAGGCUCGCAGCGGUUCUGACGUGCAAAUCGAUCGUC